This is a long non-coding RNA of Zophobas morio, 804 nucleotides long. RefSeq lists it as uncharacterized. Lineage: Eukaryota; Metazoa; Arthropoda; Insecta; Coleoptera; Tenebrionidae. The record is from RefSeq and is a predicted model, not a curated record. The transcript is spliced from 7 exons.
UUGUUUUGGAUUAAAUACUGGCUCAUCACCGACUCUGCUAUAUUUUUUUUAUUUCUUCCUGUUCUACCCGCUUUAGCCCUGAAAUUUCUUGCAAGUAUUCUCCAUUUUAGGACAGCCAUAAUGUUGUGGUUGUGGUUUCCCAAAACUCGAGGCGCAUCUCUUUUGUAUAAAACGUUUUCUUCAUUAGCAGAAAGGCAUUGCUUCUUUUGAUUAAUUGGUCUAUAUUGCGCAUAAAAAAUGAAGAAAAGGAUUGCUAUUCCCAACAUUUAUGUAAACUGGGAGCUUUUUUACUGCCUGGAAAGUUUCAGUGGGUCGCCGAAUACCUGCAAACUUCCAGCCCUUUAACUUUAUUGGCUACUUUAUUCCUUUUCACUAAUUGGUAUGAGCCAUAAAUAAAUACAAAGAAAGUUGUGCACGUUCAGUAUGUCACCAUGUGGGGCUGCUUACUCUUCGGCUACAUAUAUCCGCUGUACCGAACGCUUAUAGUUUUACAACAGCACAAGACUUUAACGAAAGCUCGCGCCACUAAACUAAUUGAGUAUUGGACAAAAUAUUGGCUGGCUUACUCUUUUUUUAAGGGAGCGCACACGUACUUUCAAUUGUGGCUUAAAUGGAUCCCUUUUUUUUAUUAUGACUUGGAACUCCUUUACAUAUUGGCCCUCCGACUAAUGGAUCCUAACUUCGUCGUCUUUUUACUGCUAAAAGCUACCAAAUUACGACGAUUACAGACUAAUAAUAAAAAAGAAGGCAGCCAUUAUAUAACAACCAAUAAUGACAAUAGUAAUAAAGAAAUGAUCCAAUAAA